This is a long non-coding RNA of Hibiscus syriacus, 183 nucleotides long. RefSeq lists it as uncharacterized. Lineage: Eukaryota; Viridiplantae; Streptophyta; Magnoliopsida; Malvales; Malvaceae. The record is from RefSeq and is a predicted model, not a curated record. The transcript has 2 exons.
AAUGGUGGAGAUAAAUUCUCCACCGGCCAUUUCUUGCCGCCGUUGCUUAUCCGGUUAGGGUUCAACGAGUAAAAGCCAGAAAAAGGAGGCAGCAAGUUUCCUUUCACCAUGAGAGCCAAGUGGAAGAAGAAGCGCAUGAGGAGGCUGAAGAGGAAGCGCCGAAAGAUGAGACAGAGAUCCAAG